This 325-nucleotide long non-coding RNA is filed under the name Mytilus galloprovincialis (Mediterranean mussel). The record is from RNAcentral. Lineage: Eukaryota; Metazoa; Mollusca; Bivalvia; Mytilida; Mytilidae.
GUUGACCGUGUGUACAUUUUUAGAAUGAAGCGCAGUUCAAGUAUAGUUAUUGUGAGUGGUUCAUGUCUGUCAUUAUUGUUUUUCGAAAAUGGUUUUGUUAUAAAUUAGACUGCUAGUUUUCUCUCUUGAAGUGUUUCACAUUUUUCAUCGUGGGACCUUUUUGUAGCCCGCUUUGUCACGGGUAUGAUUUUUGUUGAAUGCCGCAUGGUUAUAUACCUAUAGUUGCCUCCUAGCACGUUAUUUUAACUUUUCAUUUUAAUUGCCUCAUGGUAUAUUGUAGCCUGGUAUCUGCGUGCAGCAUUUAUAUCUGAGAUUCUAACAUGAC